Molecule: ribosomal RNA, 1383 nt
Filed under: uncultured bacterium
Lineage: Bacteria
Description: bacterial SSU rRNA
Rfam family: Bacterial small subunit ribosomal RNA
Source: RNAcentral
CUAGCUUGCUAGGAGUAAUGAUUAGUGGCGGACGGGUGAGUAACAUUUAGGAAUCUGCCUAGUAGUGGGGGAUAGCUCGGGGAAACUCGAAUUAAUACCGCAUACGACCUACGGGUGAAAGGGGGCGCAAGCUCUUGCUAUUAGAUGAGCCUAAAUCAGAUUAGCUAGUUGGUGGGGUAAAGGCCCACCAAGGCGACGAUCUGUAACUGGUCUGAGAGGAUGAUCAGUCACACCGGAACUGAGACACGGUCCGGACUCCUACGGGAGGCAGCAGUGGGGAAUAUUGGACAAUGGGGGCAACCCUGAUCCAGCCAUGCCGCGUGUGUGAAGAAGGCCUUUUGGUUGUAAAGCACUUUAAGCAGGGAGGAGAGGCUAAUGGUUAAUACCCAUUAGAUUAGACGUUACCUGCAGAAUAAGCACCGGCUAACUCUGUGCCAGCAGCCGCGGUAAUACAGAGGGUGCGAGCGUUAAUCGGAAUUACUGGGCGUAAAGCGAGUGUAGGUGGCUCAUUAAGUCACAUGUGAAAUCCCCGGGCUUAACCUGGGAACUGCAUGUGAUACUGGUGGUGCUAGAAUAUGUGAGAGGGAAGUAGAAUUCCAGGUGUAGCGGUGAAAUGCGUAGAGAUCUGGAGGAAUACCGAUGGCGAAGGCAGCUUCCUGGCAUAAUAUUGACACUGAGAUUCGAAAGCGUGGGUAGCAAACAGGAUUAGAUACCCUGGUAGUCCACGCCGUAAACGAUGUCUACUAGCCGUUGGGGUCCUUGAGACUUUAGUGGCGCAGUUAACGCGAUAAGUAGACCGCCUGGGGAGUACGGCCGCAAGGUUAAAACUCAAAUGAAUUGACGGGGGCCCGCACAAGCGGUGGAGCAUGUGGUUUAAUUCGAUGCAACGCGAAGAACCUUACCUGGUCUUGACAUAGUGAGAAUCCUGCAGAGAUGCGGGAGUGCCUUCGGGAAUUCACAUACAGGUGCUGCAUGGCUGUCGUCAGCUCGUGUCGUGAGAUGUUGGGUUAAGUCCCGCAACGAGCGCAACCCUUUUCCUUAUUUGCCAGCGGGUUAAGCCGGGAACUUUAAGGAUACUGCCAGUGACAAACUGGAGGAAGGCGGGGACGACGUCAAGUCAUCAUGGCCCUUACGACCAGGGCUACACACGUGCUACAAUGGUAGGUACAGAGGGUUGCUACACAGCGAUGUGAUGCUAAUCUCAAAAAGCCUAUCGUAGUCCGGAUUGGAGUCUGCAACUCGACUCCAUGAAGUCGGAAUCGCUAGUAAUCGCAGAUCAGAAUGCUGCGGUGAAUACGUUCCCGGGCCUUGUACACACCGCCCGUCACACCAUGGGAGUCUAUUGCACCAGAAGUAGGUAGCCUAACGCAAGAGGGCGCUACC